CACGCCGUAAACGAUGAGUGCUAGUUGUUGGGGUGCAUGCACCUCAGUGACGCAGCUAACGCGUUAAGCACUCCGCCUGGGGAGUNACGCGCAGAACCUUACCAGCCCUUGACAUGGGACGUAUGUUUGCCAGAGAUGGUGACUUGUCUUCGGACGCGUCCACACAGGUGC
Molecule: ribosomal RNA, 171 nt
Filed under: uncultured bacterium
Lineage: Bacteria
Description: partial 16S ribosomal RNA
Rfam family: Bacterial small subunit ribosomal RNA (bases 1-77)
Source: RNAcentral